AGCUCAUCUUGUGCCAUUACAGAGAGAACAUAUCUGGUUUUCUUGACUGCAUUAAUCACGUCCGAUAAUGAAUCUUACCCUGCACCGACCUAUCUAGAUAACUGUAUUACCCUGCAAUGCAUGGCACAGGCACCAUGUAAGUUGUUACACUAGUCUAAUACAUUGAAAUGUUGCAGUAAACAACAGUUAUGUAAAGACACUGUUCCUUUAAAACACAGAUUGACAUUGUUGACUUUACUUCUUGAAAGGAGUAGACAUUUUCUGCCCUUUGUAAUGUGCCAAAGUGAUACUGGAUAAUUCCUUUUUAUUCGUUUUUUUUGGUCGUCAACAAGGCUUUAUUGAAGCAAACAAACAUAGUUAUAAAAGUACAAUAGGCCAAUUGGUAUGUGUGUGAGACUCCGGUAUCAAUGCAUAUAAACAAAUAUGCAGUUGAGUAAUAGGUAGUUGGUUUUCAGUAUUGCAUAAAAAUAAAGGGGAUAGAUAUAUACCAAUGCGUAGGUAUCGAGGACUACAAGUUAUCACAAAUAUAAUGCAGUAGCAGACAUACCCUUCAGUAAUAAGCUCUGUCCACGUCAUUAUUAUCUUACUUGUUUCGGUUUUUGUUCGAGCGGGUUUGGUUAUAUUGGGGGCAUCUGAAUUAUAAUUGUUGUGUCUGUUGUGUCAUGCAUGUGCUUUUGGUAAGACCAAGUGCCGAGAACUUGUGGAAUCGGGCAAAUUUGAGGUAGGAGAACUAGGUUGAGGCCAGGAUCGGUGUGGUUGCAUAUGUAUGCGUCUCCGUAUCUCUCAUAUGUCCCUUAUUGCUGUAGGGAAUGAUUUUCUGAGUUGGUCUAUGACUUUGUCAGUACAGGGUGGUUUGUCCUCAUGAUUCCCGCUACGCUUUCCAG
This is a non-coding RNA of Pelobates cultripes (western spadefoot toad), 884 nucleotides long. NCBI's taxonomy places the organism in Eukaryota, Metazoa, Chordata, Amphibia, Anura, Pelobatidae. The record is from the annotation of a GenBank genome assembly.